UACGUAGGGUGCAAGCGUUUAAUCGGAAUUACUGGGCGUAAAGCGUGCGCAGGCGGUUGUGCAAGACAGAUGUGAAAUCCCCGGGCUUAACCUGGGAAUUGCAUUUGUGACUGCACGGCUAGAGUGUGUCAGAGGGGGGGUAGAAUUCCACGUGUAGCAGUGAAAUGCGUAGAUAUGUGGAGGAAUACCGAUGGCGAAGGCAGCCCCCCUGGGAUAACACUGACGCUCAUGCACGAAAAGCGUGGGGAGCAAACAGG
RNAcentral lists this ribosomal RNA (257 nucleotides) under uncultured bacterium. RNAcentral describes it as "partial 16S ribosomal RNA". It matches the Rfam family "Bacterial small subunit ribosomal RNA", at positions 524 to 776 of the family's 1533-position model. The record is from RNAcentral.